This 762-nucleotide ribosomal RNA is filed under the name Triticum aestivum (bread wheat). Its description in RNAcentral is "partial small subunit ribosomal RNA". The record is from RNAcentral. Lineage: Eukaryota; Viridiplantae; Streptophyta; Magnoliopsida; Poales; Poaceae.
AUGACGGAGAUGGAGACGAUGCAGCAGAAUCUGCAGGAGUUCUUCACCAAGAUGCUAGAAGAGAAGUUGGAGGCCAAGCUCGACCCGUUGGUGACCGACCUCCGCGCGCGAGUCGACGCCAUCGCCACGGAUCUGGACGUGGUCCAGCAAGCACGCGCCCACGGUGCCCCUUCGCUUGAGUCCACCCAGAAGCUGCUCACCGCCGCGACCUCGAGCGCCCCUCCGCGCCCCGUGCUGAUCUGCAACGAAGGGGAUCCUACGGAGGAGCUCGAUCUGCAGUUCGCCCCUCGGGGCGACGGGGUUCCGCGUGGACACCAUGAAAUCCCCCGCGACAUCGAUGGCGCUCACGAGCACCGCUUCCGUCGCGACGGUGACCACUGUCCCGUCAGGCGCGGCCAUGGCGACAACUUUGACCUGGCGUACGCGCCUCGCGGCAACGGGUUGCCGCACCAUGUUGCCCAUCCCAACAACGACGAUGCCGGCUGGUACGACCGCCACGAUGACCACGACGGCCACGAGCGCCGCAUCCCCCAUGCCGCCGCUGACUGGCUCGAGCGCCGUCGUGAUGGCCGUCGCGAUGACGCAGAUGGCCAUGAGCGUUGCGUUCCUCACGAUGCCAUUGACUGGCCCGAGCGCCGCCGUGACGGUGAGGAUGGCCGCGUCCGCCGAGACGCCGCUGGCUGGCCCGAGCGCCACAAUGACUGUCGUGAUGGAUUUCACCUUAGGCCGCCCAAGCAUCCUUUUCCAGAAUUCAAAGGGUAG